RNAcentral lists this ribosomal RNA (478 nucleotides) under uncultured bacterium. RNAcentral's name for it is "partial 16S ribosomal RNA". It matches the Rfam family "Bacterial small subunit ribosomal RNA", at positions 28 to 523 of the family's 1533-position model. The record is from RNAcentral.
GACGAACGCUGGCGGCGUGCUUAACACAUGCAAGUCGAGCGAUGAAGCUCCCUCGGGAGUGGAUUAGCGGCGGACGGGUGAGUAACACGUGGGUAACCUGCCUCAUAGAGGGGAAUAGCCUUUCGAAAGGAAGAUUAAUACCGCAUAAGAUUGUAGUACCGCAUGGUACAGCAAUUAAAGGAGUAAUCCGCUAUGAGAUGGACCCGCGUCGCAUUAGCUAGUUGGUGAGGUAACGGCUCACCAAGGCGACGAUGCGUAGCCGACCUGAGAGGGUGAUCGGCCACAUUGGGACUGAGACACGGCCCAGGCUCGUACGGGAGGCAGCAAUGGGGAAUAUUGCACAAUGGGGGAAACCCUGAUGCAGCAACGCCGCGUGAGUGAUGACGGUCUUCGGAUUGUAAAGCUCUGUCUUUAGGGACGAUAAUGACGGUACCUAAGGAGGAAGCCACGGCUAACUACGUGCCAGCAGCCGCAGUAA